GGACUCAUAGCUCAGCCGGUUAGAGCAUCUGACUCAUAAUCAGAGGGUCCCUGGUUCGAGCCCAGGUGAGUCCA
RNAcentral lists this transfer RNA (74 nucleotides) under Chitinophagaceae bacterium. RNAcentral describes it as "tRNA-Ile". It matches the Rfam family "tRNA". Rfam says of the family: Transfer RNA (tRNA) molecules are approximately 80 nucleotides in length. Their secondary structure includes four short double-helical elements and three loops (D, anti-codon, and T loops). Lineage: Bacteria; Pseudomonadati; Bacteroidota; Chitinophagia; Chitinophagales; Chitinophagaceae. The record is from RNAcentral.